CGCUGAAGAGAGGAGCUUGCUCUUCUUGGAUGAGUUGCGAACGGGUGAGUAACGCGUAGGUAACCUGCCUUGUAGCGGGGGAUAACUAUUGGAAACGAUAGCUAAUACCGCAUAACAAUGGAUGACACAUGUCAUUUAUUUGAAAGGGGCAAUUGUUCCACUACAAGAUGGACCUGCGUUGUAUUAGCUAGUAGGUGAGGUAAUGGCUCACCUAGGCGACGAUACAUAGCCGACCUGAGAGGGUGAUCGGCCACACUGGGACUGAGACACGGCCCAGACUCCUACGGGAGGCAGCAGUAGGGAAUCUUCGGCAAUGGGGGCAACCCUGACCGAGCAACGCCGCGUGAGUGAAGAAGGUUUUCGGAUCGUAAAGCUCUGUUGUAAGUCAAGAACGGGUGUGAGAGUGGAAAGUUCACACUGUGACGGUAGCUUACCAGAAAGGGACGGCUAACUACGUGCCAGCAGCCGCGGUAAUACGUAGGUCCCGAGCGUUGUCCGGAUUUAUUGGGCGUAAAGCGAGCGCAGGCGGUUUGAUAAGUCUGAAGUUAAAGGCUGUGGCUCAACCAUAGUUCGCUUUGGAAACUGUCAAACUUGAGUGCAGAAGGGGAGAGUGGAAUUCCAUGUGUAGCGGUGAAAUGCGUAGAUAUAUGGAGGAACACCGGUGGCGAAAGCGGCUCUCUGGUCUGUAACUGACGCUGAGGCUCGAAAGCGUGGGGAGCGAACAGGAUUAGAUACCCUGGUAGUCCACGCCGUAAACGAUGAGUGCUAGGUGUUGGAUCCUUUCCGGGAUUCAGUGCCGCAGCUAACGCAUUAAGCACUCCGCCUGGGGAGUACGACCGCAAGGUUGAAACUCAAAGGAAUUGACGGGGGCCCGCACAAGCGGUGGAGCAUGUGGUUUAAUUCGAAGCAACGCGAAGAACCUUACCAGGUCUUGACAUCCCGAUGCUAUUUCUAGAGAUAGAAAGUUACUUCGGUACAUCGGUGACAGGUGGUGCAUGGUUGUCGUCAGCUCGUGUCGUGAGAUGUUGGGUUAAGUCCCGCAACGAGCGCAACCCCUAUUGUUAGUUGCCAUCAUUCAGUUGGGCACUCUAGCGAGACUGCCGGUAAUAAACCGGAGGAAGGUGGGGAUGACGUCAAAUCAUCAUGCCCCUUAUGACCUGGGCUACACACGUGCUACAAUGGUUGGUACAACGAGUUGCGAGUCGGUGACGGCGAGCUAAUCUCUUAAAGCCAAUCUCAGUUCGGAUUGUAGGCUGCAACUCGCCUACAUGAAGUCGGAAUCGCUAGUAAUCGCGGAUCAGCACGCCGCGGUGAAUACGUUCCCGGGCCUUGUACACACCGCCCGUCACACCACGAGAGUUUGUAACACCCGAAGUCGGUGAGGUAACCUUUUGAGCCAGCCGCCUAAGGUGACA
Molecule: ribosomal RNA, 1415 nt
Filed under: Streptococcus thermophilus
Lineage: Bacteria; Bacillati; Bacillota; Bacilli; Lactobacillales; Streptococcaceae
Description: bacterial SSU rRNA
Rfam family: Bacterial small subunit ribosomal RNA
Source: RNAcentral